Long non-coding RNA from Ornithodoros turicata, 866 nucleotides. RefSeq lists it as uncharacterized. The transcript is spliced from 2 exons. NCBI's taxonomy places the organism in Eukaryota, Metazoa, Arthropoda, Arachnida, Ixodida, Argasidae. The record is from RefSeq and is a predicted model, not a curated record.
CCCAUUGGAAUGCAUGUAAGCUGUGACAAGUUUUGCUGUUUGUGAGCGCUUCCCUUGCUUCUUCACUAAAAUUUUGCCACGGAUCGCUGCAGAAAUCCCUCGUGAUUGGAUUCCUUACGUUUUUUGUGUGAAAUCCCGUCACAUACAUGUUAUUUCCUGUCUAUUUUGUACUCGUGUGAGGUCGUGUCGUCCCAAUUUUGUACUUUGAACUUCGAUUAUGUGAUUUGCUGGUUUUGUGUGGUGUUGUAUUUGUUGUGUUACGUUUCCUUUGUCGUCUGUCAGUGUGUGCAGCGUGUUGCUUCCCGUGUUUCUCCCAUUUCCUUUCUGCUCGGGAGUGUGGAAUGCCAGGGAAUGUUUGUUUAUGUAACCGCCUUAAUGCUGGGGUAUAAACAUUAUGCUUUGCACAGGAAGUUUAGAUAUGACUAGUUAUGACACGAAAUGCCGAACGGCACUAAAGCACUUCCAAAGGACUAGAAUGAUAUGUGAUAUAAAGGCUAUAUGACGGUAAAAACAUAUCGAUUAGAAAUAUGUGCACUGGGGAAAUGAAUGGCGGUAAAGACAGUUCAAAAUGACUAGAGGUAGAGUGAAUAAGUCAUAAAAAGGCUAAGUAGCAAGGUCUUGUGCUGAAAGCUCCAACAUCAAAGUAUCACAAGUUCAGUUGCAACAGCAAGUUUGAGGCAGUCAAGCAGCUGAGGCCUGGCUGUCACCUUCUCUGUAUAUUCCUUGGCAAGGUGGUACAGUCCGAUACUGCUGUAACACUGGGAAACUUCUUUGAUCAGACUGAUCACAGAUACAUUGAUCGGAUGGGCUGCAUUCAAACGUGUUGUCGCAAACUUAAGCAGCGAGAAUAAAGAGUAGACAUUCGA